This 274-nucleotide ribosomal RNA is filed under the name uncultured bacterium. RNAcentral describes it as "partial 16S ribosomal RNA". It matches the Rfam family "Bacterial small subunit ribosomal RNA", at positions 523 to 796 of the family's 1533-position model. The record is from RNAcentral.
AUACGGAGGGUGCGAGCGUUAAUCGGAAUUACUGGGCGUAAAGCGCACGUAGGCGGUUUGUUAAGUCGGAUGUGAAAUCCCCGGGCUCAACCUGGGACCUGCAUCCGAUACUGGCGGGCUAGAGUCUGGUAGAGGGGGGUAGAAUUCCUGGUGUAGCGGUGAAAUGCGUAGAUAUCAGGAGGAAUACCAGUGGCGAAGGCGGCCCUCUGGACUGAGACUGACGCUGAGGUGCGAAAGCGUGGGGAGCAAACAGGAUUAGAAACCCUAGUAGUCC